RNAcentral lists this ribosomal RNA (506 nucleotides) under uncultured bacterium. RNAcentral's name for it is "partial 16S ribosomal RNA". It matches the Rfam family "Bacterial small subunit ribosomal RNA", at positions 30 to 523 of the family's 1533-position model. The record is from RNAcentral.
AUUGAACGCUGGCGGCAGGCCUAACACAUGCAAGUCGGACGGUAGCACAGAGGAGCUUGCUCCUCGGGUGACGAGUGGCGGACGGGUGAGUAAUGUCUGGGGAUCUGCCCGAUAGAGGGGGAUAACCACUGGAAACGGUGGCUAAUACCGCAUAUCGUCGCCAGACCAAAGAGGGGGACCUUCGGGCCUCUCCUUAUCGGAUGAACCCAGAUGGGAUUAGCUAGUAGGCGGGGUAACGGCCCACCUAGGCGACGAUCCCUAGCUGGUCUGAGAGGAUGACCAGCCACACUGGAACUGAGACACGGUCCAGACUCCUACGGGAGGCAGCAGUGGGGAAUAUUGCACAAUGGGCGCAAGCCUGAUGCAGCCAUGCCGCGUGUAUGAAGAAGGCCUUCGGGUUGUAAAGUACUUUCAGCGGGGAGGAAGGCGAUGUGGUUAAUAACCGCAUUGAUUGACGUUACCCGCAGAAGAAGCACCGGCUAACUCCGUGCCAGCCGCCGCGGUAA